RNAcentral lists this ribosomal RNA (516 nucleotides) under uncultured bacterium. Its description in RNAcentral is "partial 16S ribosomal RNA". It matches the Rfam family "Bacterial small subunit ribosomal RNA", at positions 28 to 523 of the family's 1533-position model. The record is from RNAcentral.
GAUGAACGCUGGCGGCGUGCCUAAUACAUGCAAGUCGAACGCAUUGAGAGAAGUGCUUGCACUUUUCAAUUUGAGUGGCGAACGGGUGAGUAACACGUGGGCAACCUACCUGAUAGCGGGGGAUAACGAGUGGAAACAUUCGCUAAUACCGCAUAACAAUAGAGAAGGCAUCUUCUUUAUUUAAAAGGCGCUUUCAAGAGUCACUAUCAGAUGGGCCGGCGGUGAAUUAGUGAGUUGGUGGGGUGAAGGCCUACAAAGACGAUGAUGCAUAGCCGAGUUGAGAGACUGGUCGGCCACAUUGGGACUGAGACACGGCCCAAACUCCUACGGGAGGCUGCAGUAGGGAAUCUUCCACAAUGGACGAAAGUCUGAUGGAGCAACGCCGCGUGUGUGAUGAAGGCUUUCGGGUCGUAAAGCACUGUUGUAUGGGAAGAAAUGCUAGGCUAGGAAAUGAGCUUAGUUUGACGGUACCAUACCAGAAAGGGACGGCUAAAUACGUGCCAGCCGCCGCCGUAA